Molecule: transfer RNA, 67 nt
Filed under: Opimothrips tubulatus
Lineage: Eukaryota; Metazoa; Arthropoda; Insecta; Thysanoptera; Thripidae
Description: tRNA-Asp
Source: RNAcentral
GAAACUAUAGUUAAAAAAUAACAUUACUUUGUCAUAGUAAAAUUAUUAUUACUUAUAAUUAAUUUCU